This 46-nucleotide non-coding RNA is filed under the name Trichobilharzia regenti. Lineage: Eukaryota; Metazoa; Platyhelminthes; Trematoda; Strigeidida; Schistosomatidae. The record is from RNAcentral.
GUACUGAUGAAGAGUCCCACACCAGGGUGAAACGGCUGUCCAGUAU